This 516-nucleotide ribosomal RNA is filed under the name uncultured bacterium. Its description in RNAcentral is "partial 16S ribosomal RNA". It matches the Rfam family "Bacterial small subunit ribosomal RNA", at positions 28 to 523 of the family's 1533-position model. The record is from RNAcentral.
GAUGAACGCUGGCGGCGUGCCUAAUACAUGCAAGUCGAACGCAUUGAGAGAAGUUCUCUCACUUUUCAAUUUGAGUGGCGAACGGGUGAGUAACACGUGGGCAACCUACCUGAUAGCGGGGGAUAACGAGUGGAAACAUUCGCUAAUACCGCAUAACAAUCGAGAAAGCAUCUACUUUAUUAAAAAGCCGCUUUCAUGCGUCACUAUCAGAUGGGCCCGCGGUGCAUUAGUUAGUUGGUGGGGUGAAGGCCUACCAAGCUGAUGAUGCGUAGCCGAGUUGAAGGACUGAUCGGCCACAUUGGGACUGAGACACGGCCCAAACUCCUACGGGAGGCUGCAGUAGGGAAUCUUCCACAAUGGACGAAAGUCUGAUGGAGCAACGCCGCGUGUGUGAUGAAGGCUUUAGGGUCGUAAAGCACUGUUGUAUGGGAAGAAAUGCUCGGCUAGGAAAUGAGCUUAGUUUGACGGUACCAAACCAGAAAGGGACGGCUAAAUACGUGCCAGCCGCCGCCGUAA